GACGAACGCUGGCGGCGUGCUUAACACAUGCAAGUCGAACGGAAAGGCCCUGCUUUUGUGGGGUGCUCGAGUGGCGAACGGGUGAGUAACACGUGAGUAACCUGCCCUUGACUUUGGGAUAACUUCAGGAAACUGGGGCUAAUACCGGAUAGGAGCUCCUGCUGCAUGGUGGGGGUUGGAAAGUUUCGGCGGUUGGGGAUGGACUCGCGGCUUAUCAGCUUGUUGGUGGGGUAGUGGCUUACCAAGGCUUUGACGGGUAGCCGGCCUGAGAGGGUGACCGGCCACAGUGGGACAGAGAGGCGGCGCGGGUGCCUGCGGGAGCCAGCAGUGGGGGCGAUUGCAGACUGCGCGGAAGCCGUAUGCAGCAACGCCGCGUGCGGGAUGGUGGCCUGCGGUGAGUAGACAGGAUGCGCCGGCGAAGAAGCGGGAGGGAGGGUAAUGAGUAAAGAGGCAACGGCUCACCACGUG
RNAcentral lists this ribosomal RNA (468 nucleotides) under uncultured bacterium. RNAcentral describes it as "partial 16S ribosomal RNA". It matches the Rfam family "Bacterial small subunit ribosomal RNA", at positions 28 to 507 of the family's 1533-position model. The record is from RNAcentral.